UGCAAGUCGAGCGGUAGCACAGAGAGCUUGCUCUCGGGUGACGAGCGGCGGACGGGUGAGUAAUGUCUGGGAAACUGCCUGAUGGAGGGGGAUAACUACUGGAAACGGUAGCUAAUACCGCAUAAUGUCGCAAGACCAAAGUGGGGGACCUUCGGGCCUCAUGCCAUCAGAUGUGCCCAGAUGGGAUUAGCUAGUAGGUGGGGUAACGGCUCACCUAGGCGACGAUCCCUAGCUGGUCUGAGAGGAUGACCAGCCACACUGGAACUGAGACACGGUCCAGACUCCUACGGGAGGCAGCAGUGGGGAAUAUUGCACAAUGGGCGCAAGCCUGAUGCAGCCAUGCCGCGUGUAUGAAGAAGGCCUUCGGGUUGUAAAGUACUUUCAGCGGGGAGGAAGGCGAUAAGGUUAAUAACCUUGUCGAUUGACGUUACCCGCAGAAGAAGCACCGGCUAACUCCGUGCCAGCAGCCGCGGUAAUACGGAGGGUGCAAGCGUUAAUCGGAAUUACUGGGCGUAAAGCGCACGCAGGCGGUCUGUCAAGUCGGAUGUGAAAUCCCCGGGCUCAACCUGGGAACUGCAUUCGAAACUGGCAGGCUAGAGUCUUGUAGAGGGGGGUAGAAUUCCAGGUGUAGCGGUGAAAUGCGUAGAGAUCUGGAGGAAUACCGGUGGCGAAGGCGGCCCCCUGGACAAAGACUGACGCUCAGGUGCGAAAGCGUGGGGAGCAAACAGGAUUAGAUACCCUGGUAGUCCACGCCGUAAACGAUGUCGAUUUGGAGGUUGUGCCCUUGAGGCGUGGCUUCCGGAGCUAACGCGUUAAAUCGACCGCCUGGGGAGUACGGCCGCAAGGUUAAAACUCAAAUGAAUUGACGGGGGCCCGCACAAGCGGUGGAGCAUGUGGUUUAAUUCGAUGCAACGCGAAGAACCUUACCUGGUCUUGACAUCCACAGAACUUAGCAGAGAUGCUUUGGUGCCUUCGGGAACUGUGAGACAGGUGCUGCAUGGCUGUCGUCAGCUCGUGUUGUGAAAUGUUGGGUUAAGUCCCGCAACGAGCGCAACCCUUAUCCUUUGUUGCCAGCGGUCCGGCCGGGAACUCAAAGGAGACUGCCAGUGAUAAACUGGAGGAAGGUGGGGAUGACGUCAAGUCAUCAUGGCCCUUACGACCAGGGCUACACACGUGCUACAAUGGCAUAUACAAAGAGAAGCGACCUCGCGAGAGCAAGCGGACCUCAUAAAGUAUGUCGUAGUCCGGAUUGGAGUCUGCAACUCGACUCCAUGAAGUCGGAAUCGCUAGUAAUCGUAGAUCAGAAUGCUACGGUGAAUACGUUCCCGGGCCUUGUACACACCGCCCGUCACACCAUGGGAGUGGGUUGCAAAAGAAGUAGGUAGCUUAACCUUCGGGAGGGCGCU
This 1406-nucleotide ribosomal RNA is filed under the name Klebsiella sp. G-40. Its description in RNAcentral is "bacterial SSU rRNA". It matches the Rfam family "Bacterial small subunit ribosomal RNA". The record is from RNAcentral. Lineage: Bacteria; Pseudomonadati; Pseudomonadota; Gammaproteobacteria; Enterobacterales; Enterobacteriaceae.